Long non-coding RNA from Apis dorsata (giant honeybee), 1056 nucleotides. RefSeq lists it as uncharacterized. The record is from RefSeq and is a predicted model, not a curated record. Lineage: Eukaryota; Metazoa; Arthropoda; Insecta; Hymenoptera; Apidae. The transcript is spliced from 2 exons.
UUCAAUUUUUUUAUUAUUAUAUGUAAUAAUUUUUAAAUUGUAAUAAAGAUAGAGUUACAAAUAAUUUUUGCUCUGAUCUUUCCACAAGAUGUUCAUGUUAUAUAGGUUCUUGUUGGCGCACAAUGAAAUAGGGGGCUCGACCUUUAAUUCAGUGCAAUAAUGCCUCUUCAGGUAUCUAGAGUAGAAGACACAUAUGUACAAGGACUUUCAGAAGACAGCUUUCUUUCUUUUUUCUCUUUUUUUUAUACAUAUUGAAGCAAAUGAAUAUAUCAUUUGGAUAUCAAUUGAAAAAAAUAAAUAUAUCACUACUGAACCAAAUUACUGGCGGAACCCACAUAUUAAAGAAUUUUACAACUAUUAAUUAAUUUAAUAAGUCUAUCUUUGAUUUAGUUAGGCUUGGGUGACUCUAAACUGGCCCCCUAUAUUUGUAUUUUGAUUAAUUCCUGAAUUUGCUGUUGUAAGCAAGAUAGCGCUUUUUUUUUCAUUAUUAAUCCAAUUAAAAAAAUUUAUAAAAAUCAAUUUUAUCAUUUUUAAUAUAAUAAUAAUUUUCUUUCAUCAUCACAUAUGAGAUACAAAAAAUCUCAAAAAUCUAUUAGCUAAAAAAUGAUAAUAUAUAAAUGAUAAAUAUUUAAACAAUGAAACAAAUGCAAUUAGUUGGGACACUUUCAUUCAUAAUGAUUAUUUGUUAUCAUACAACAGAAUGAAGAUUUAAAUGGAUCUAACAUGCAUUCGUGAAAGUCUAUUUCAUUAAACUUUCAGGAAUUUCAAUUAUAAGUGUCAGAUACAAUGCCUAACGAGAAACUAUGAAACUAAAUUGCUAUCUUCUAUGUAUAAUUUAUAAUUGUAUAGCGAAUUGCUCAGUAAUACGAUUAAAUGCUAUAUUCAUAAGUAAAGAAUUGGGCGGAUCGACUACUCCUAAGGCCUCGCUCAUCAAUUAUUUUGAAUUAAUUUAGUCCCACACAUUCAUUCUAAAAGUCUAAGUUAGGAUAGUUGGGAUUAAAUUGAAAGGACGUUAGUCUAUUUUCAGUUUUUCUAGAAAAUAAAAAAGAAGAAACA